Paramuricea clavata is the source of this 205-nucleotide non-coding RNA. The record is from the annotation of a GenBank genome assembly. NCBI's taxonomy places the organism in Eukaryota, Metazoa, Cnidaria, Anthozoa, Malacalcyonacea, Plexauridae.
CCACCGUGGUCGGGCAUAUUUUUCAAGCUCGCCCGGUGUGGAUAUGCACUCAGAGUAACAUCGGAAACAUGUUAUUCACCUGAGUACACAACACCAACACAGAAAAAAAAUCAUAUUACUAUAACACAUUGGUAUUGAAGGAACUAGAUACUGUUCCGAAAUAUCACUUACUCGAACCGUCCUGACCGCGUAGCUCAGUUGGAAG